AUUGGUGGAUUCUGUUCAAUAUUUAUAAUUAUCAAUUAUCAUAGGCAAUUAGAUUCGAAACUAUUUAGUCUUCUGGAAUGUGUCCACACGGUUUAUCUCGCUCCUUGUAUUUAUUUAUCCUCUCAGACACGGACACAUCAGCUUGAAUUGGUAGUCAGUUCUGGAGCAAUCCACUGAUUUAUUUGUAAUAUUCUGGUUGCAAUGUGCUUGCUGUAUUUCCCUUCAGGGACAAACACACUUACAGGCUCUACUAAUAUAAAAACACUUUGUGAAACAUCUACACAGAGCACGUAUGGUGGUUCAAACAAAUGGUCCUGUUUGUAAUCACAUAGAGCAUAUUUGAGUGAUACCUCAUGAUGUACCUGUGGGAUGUGUUUGCUGGUGUGAAAUUACAAUAUAAUCAAUGUACCUUUUCCAAAAAAUAUAAAUAUAUUUCUUUGUCAGUUCAGAAAAAUCAAGGACACAUACCUGCAGAAGGUAGAAACUUAGCCAAGUUCAAAGUCAAAUAUUUGAAUUAAAAAUGUGCUCAGAUCUCUUUUUCUGGUUAUUUAUUGUAUACUACAUGUUUUUAUCCCUCUACAGUAACAGCUAGAUACAAAAUCCUACUCAGUCUAUAAAAUGAUACAACAGGAGAUAAACAGUAGAUGUAACAUUCUCAGCAUUUGGUGAACUAAGGUGCCUUCAGAAAGUAUUCACACCCUUCACCUUUUCCACAUCUUGUUGUGUUAGCAUGAAUUUAAAAUGGAUUCUAUUUAGAUGUUGGGUCCCUGGCCGACACACAAUACUGCACAAUGUUAAAGUGAAAUAUUUUUGGGGGACAUUUUUACAAAUUAAUAAUUUUUAAAAAGCUGAAAUGUUUUGAGUCAGUAAGUAUUCAACCCCAUUGUUAUGACAAGCCUAAAUAAGUUCAGGACCAGAAAUUUGCUAAACAAAUCAAAUAAUAAAUUGCAUGGACUCACUCGAUGUGCAAUAAUAGUGUUUGACAUGGGUUUUUUUUUCUCUACACAUACAAUUAUCUGUGAGGUCCCUCAGUCGAGCAGUGAAUUUCAAACAACCACAAAGAACUGGGAUGUUUUCCAAUGCCUUGAAAAGAAGGGCACCUAUUGGUAGAUUGGUAAUACAUUUAAAAAACAGAUAUUGAAUAUCCCGUUGAGCAUGGUGAAGUUAUUCGUUUUUUUCCAAUUGCUAACACACUAAAAUGACAUGCACAGCACAAUUAUUUAAACUGACACACAGAGAGCAAAACCUCUUCUCAAGUCUCUAAAAGUCUAAACACAUUUUCUGCUUUACACACAUUUUGCAAUUCAAAAUGGCACUUUUUAAAUGCACUUCACACGGUUCUCUGCAUAAGACACAACAAUCUGACAUAAAGUCACAUGUUUGCCAUUUCAAAACACAGCCAUUCAAAAUGACACUACAUGAGCUAAUUGGCCAAUAAAUGUGCCACCUGGUCAAACACCUCUGGUUAAAUGUUACCACUUCAAUCAGGAAGUAAGCACUAUGAAAAGACCACAGGUGAGCACAUUUUGUUUUACAACAACAAUGGAAGCCGUUGCAGAGAGAGGAAGAGGGAGGUUGAGAAUGAAAGGGGGAGGAAGAGUGAGAGGUAGGGGUAGAGCUGGUAAAGGAGUUCAUGGCCAAAGAAGACAACAACUUUCAAAUGAAAUCAGAGCAACCGUAGUUGAUCAUGUCAUCAACCAUGGGCUGACAAUGCGAGAGGCUGGACAGAGUGCAGCCCAACUUGAGCCGUUUUACUGUCGCCUGUGUCAUCCGGACAUUUAGACUGGAGUACAGGACUGAGAGACGCAACCUUUGUGGAGGAUGAUGUUCACUGGGGUACAGGAUGCUGCCAUUGUAAACUUGGUUUUGGAAAAUGAAAUCAGAUUACAAGAAAUUCAAAGCCACAUCAUCCAAGACAACACCAUAUUCAACAACAUUCAACGAGUCAGUCUGUCCACAUUGGCUUGCAUUCUCAAGUGAAACCAAAUCAGAAUGAAACAACUUUAUAAGGUGUCAUUUGAGAGAAACUCUCAAAGAAACAAAGAGGUCAGACGAGCAUAUGUGGAUGGAGUACUGGAAAUGGAUGCUCAUGCAAUCCCACAUGAGUUCAUCUUUAUAGAUGAGGCUGGGUUCAACCUAGCAAAGACCAGAAGAAGGGGGGGGGGACGUCAUUGGCCACAGAGCCAUUAUAGAUGUUCCUGGCCAACGUGGUGGGAACAUCACAAUGUGCGCUGCCAUCUCCAAUACGCAUGGUGUCCUCCACCGUCAUGCCAACCUUGGACCAUACAACACAGCCCAUAUUCUCACAUUUCUGGACAGACUCCACAACAUUCUCAUACCACCAGAGCUGAAUGAUGCAGACCAUCAAAGAACCCGGUACGUUGUAGUAUGGGACAUGAGCUUUCAUCGUGCAGCCCCAGUCCAAAACUGGUUUGCUGACCACUCACCAUUUCUCGUGCAAUACCUCCCACCAUACUCACCAUUUCUGAACCCCAUAGAAGCAUUGUUUUCGGCAUGGCGGUGGAAGGUAUACGACCGGCAGCCCUUUGUGUGCAGGCCUCUUGUGCAGGCUAUGGAAGAGGCAUGUGAUGAGAUUGAUGUGGGUGCAAUUCAGGGAUGGAUAAGGCACUCAAGGUGCUUCUUCCCUCGAUGUCUGGCAAGGGAAGAUAUUGCCUGUGAUGUGGAUGAGGCGUUGUGGCCAGAACCAGCUGUGCGGCAAGAUGCUGCCUAAUUAUUUUUCUUGCCUUUUCUUUUUCAGUUUACUGUUUUUUUUGUGGUCAUAUUUUGGUUCAGUCCAAUGUAAAUAUAUCUGCUGUGCAUAUGUUGCACUGACUUGUUUGGUGAAAAAUAAAAAUAAAUAU
Long non-coding RNA from Oncorhynchus masou masou (cherry salmon), 2861 nucleotides. RefSeq lists it as uncharacterized. Lineage: Eukaryota; Metazoa; Chordata; Actinopteri; Salmoniformes; Salmonidae. The transcript is spliced from 3 exons. The record is from RefSeq and is a predicted model, not a curated record.